AUAUCUGCCAAGGUUUGUGCAAGCACCAAUUUCCACUAAAAUUUGUCUGUGUUUUGGUUAUUAUUAUUAUUAUCCUGUCUGCAAUAGGGUUUAGUGUUUCAGUCAUGUUAAGACAAAAAUCAUCAACAGAAAAACAUGUUCCAGAGAGUAGGAAGAACACAACAGAGAGGCCCCCUCUGUUAACUUGCACAGAACCGUGGAAACGACAAGGACAGAAAUGCUUGACUUUUUCAUCCACAUCAGACUCUUGGAAUACCAGUCAAGCCCACUGUUCCAGAAAGGAAUCCACAUUACUGCUUAUUCAAGAUGCGA
Long non-coding RNA from Sorex fumeus (smoky shrew), 312 nucleotides. RefSeq lists it as uncharacterized. The transcript has 3 exons. The record is from RefSeq and is a predicted model, not a curated record. NCBI's taxonomy places the organism in Eukaryota, Metazoa, Chordata, Mammalia, Eulipotyphla, Soricidae.